This 245-nucleotide ribosomal RNA is filed under the name uncultured Bacteroides sp. RNAcentral's name for it is "partial 16S ribosomal RNA". It matches the Rfam family "Bacterial small subunit ribosomal RNA", at positions 524 to 768 of the family's 1533-position model. The record is from RNAcentral. Lineage: Bacteria; Pseudomonadati; Bacteroidota; Bacteroidia; Bacteroidales; Bacteroidaceae.
UACGGAAGGUCCGAGCGUUAUCCGGAUUUAUUGGGUUUAAAGGGAGCGUAGGCGGGAUGCCAAGUCAGUUGUGAAAGUUCUCGGCUCAACCGUGGAAUUGCAGUUGAAACUGGUGUUCUUGAGUGCACAUAACGAAGGUGGAAUUUGUGGUGUAGCGGUGAAAUGCUUAGAUAUCACGAAGAACUCCGAUUGCGAAGGCAGCCUUCGGGGGUGCUACUGACGCUGAGGCUCGAAAGUGCGGGAAU